Molecule: long non-coding RNA, 1497 nt
Organism: Psammomys obesus (fat sand rat)
Lineage: Eukaryota; Metazoa; Chordata; Mammalia; Rodentia; Muridae
Exons: 3
Source: RefSeq, a predicted model, not a curated record
CCAGAACCCGUGAGACACCUUGGGAAGCUGCCCACGUUCCUGGAGACCUCCCUGGCUAGCCGCCAGCUCUUCCCCGGGUGGCAGCAGGCAGCGCCGACUGAGCAGGCACGCAAAGGCGCUGGGAAAGCUUUGAUGUCAACAGAGGUAGGCAGGGCAGGCCCCGGUGGAAAACUGUGAAGUCAGCAGUUAUCUCUGGCACUCCUCCCUUCCCCUAGCUUCCCAUUUCUCCACCCAUUUCCCCCCUCUUUGCUUCCAGCUUCUCUUUUCCCAGGGGGACCCUGGAAUAUAUGAAAACCCGCUGUCACCAGAUAGGAGCGGCCCCUCCCCCUUCCCAGGCUCCAACUCCCGAAGUCUGCUCCCACCCCAAGUCUAAAACAAACAAAGACGAGUCCCAGGUUCCAUACAUUUCCUAAGAAAACCAGUGCAAAAACCCUGCCCUUUGUGCGCCCACAGUCAAACCCUGAGGAGUUUGGGGCCUCAAGUUUGAAGUGGUCUUUCUGUCUCCUGGGGCUUUAGGAGGAGUCCAAAGCGCCUCAGCUGCUUGGUAUGGCUGAGAUUUAAACCACAAAUUAUAAAAUGAUAAAUUCGCUGCUCAAGUCUCUUCCAGGAAAGACCAUGUUGUCUAGAUAAAGUUACAACCUCAUGGACGUAGGAGCCGGUCUAGCUGCUGACUAAUCCUCACACUCAUUUUCCUGCCUGAGAGAUUUUUUUUCUCUCUCUCUACUUUCUCUGUUUCUGCCCGAGUGACCUCGGGCAGGGAAACCAGGGGCUGUUCAGCCGUGGAGCUCCGAGCUUUAUCGUAUAACGGCUGCUUUCGUUUCGUGAGGAGGAAGUUUGGGAAACAGCUUUGUUCUUGGGCGCUUAAGUGCUGAGAACAGUGAGAAAGUCUUCCCGUGGGUAGCUGCGAGCGCUUCGAACACAGGCUGGAAUGUGAGGGUCUGUUCGGUGACAGAGCGGGACAAGCAAUAAGGCCGCGUGCACGCCUUGUAAGAGCUCCCUGCUGGAGCUUUGGCAAACCCAGGGAGAGAUGGAAUGCUUGUCCAAGGCAGCGUGUGACCUGACCUGCUUGCAGGCUCAGUCACACUGACCUCCUUUUGACUACCUGGGGCUGCGGGAAGCUGCUCCGUCAUGCUUCCAGCUUCUCCAAUACCAUGCCUCAGUUACACAACCAUGACGACGUUUCUCCAAGGCCACUGCUGCCGAGAGGACCGGCGGGGUCAUGAGUCAUAAUCACUUCAUCAUUUCCUCCUAGAUUUGAGUCCUGCUGAUUUUACCCUUUGGGUCUUCCAUCCUCCUUUCCCUGUUGUCCUUGGGUCCCGGGUGGAUCCAGUGUCACUCCAUGUUAUCAUCCACCCCUCCCACCCCAGGCGCCACCACAGCUGCUCCUGUUUCUGCUUUUCUUGAAGUCAGCCCUGCUGUCAUUACUGCUGCUUUUUCUGGGAUCCUUCAAGUUGUGGAGAGAGUUCUUUUCCUGUGAUUAUAGUUCUUUCUUCCAAU